Molecule: ribosomal RNA, 685 nt
Filed under: uncultured bacterium
Lineage: Bacteria
Description: bacterial SSU rRNA
Rfam family: Bacterial small subunit ribosomal RNA
Source: RNAcentral
GAGUUUGAUCCUGGCUCAGGAUGAACGCUGGCGGCGUGCUUAACACAUGCAAGUCGAGCGAAGCACUUCGUUUUGAAUCUUCGGAGGAAGAACGGAAUGACUGAGCGGCGGACAGGUGAGUAACGCGUGGGCAACCUGCCUCAUACAGGGGGAUAACAGUUAGAAAUGACUGCUAAUACCGCAUAAGACCGCGGUACCGCAUGGUACAGCGGUAAAAACUCCGGUGGUAUGAGAUGGGCCCGCGUCUGAUUAGCUAGUUGGCGGGGUAACGGCCCACCAAGGCGACGAUCAGUAGCCGACCUGAGAGGGUGACCGGCCACAUUGGGACUGAGACACGGCCCAAACUCCUACGGGAGGCAGCAGUGGGGAAUAUUGCACAAUGGGGGAAACCCUGAUGCAGCGACGCCGCGUGAGCGAUGAAGUAUUUCGGUAUGUAAAGCUCUAUCAGCAGGGAAGAAGAUGACGGUACCUGACUAAGAAGCCCCGGCUAACUACGUGCCAGCAGCCGCGGUAAUACGUAGGGGGCAAGCGUUAUCCGGAUUUACUGGGUGUAAAGGGAGCGUAGACGGCGGUGCAAGCCAGAUGUGAAAGCCCGGGGCUCAACCCCGGGACUGCAUUUGGAACUGUAUGGCUGGAGUGUCGGAGAGGCAGGCGGAAUUCCUAGUGUAGCGGUGAAAUGCGUAGA